UGGGGAAUAUUGCACAAUGGGCGCAAGCCUGAUGCAGCCAUGCCGCGUGUAUGAAGAAGGCCUUCGGGUUGUAAAGUACUUUCAGCGAGGAGGAAGGCGUUGUGGUUAAUAACCGCAACGAUUGACGUUACUCGCAGAAGAAGCACCGGCUAACUCCGUGCCAGCAGCCGCGGUAAUACGGAGGGUGCAAGCGUUAAUCGGAAUUACUGGGCGUAAAGCGCACGCAGGCGGUCUGUCGAGUCGGAUGUGAAAUCCCCGGGCUCAACCUGGGAACUGCAUCCGAAACUGGCAGGCUAGAGUCUUGUAGAGGGGGGUAGAAUUCCAGGUGUAGCGGUGAAAUGCGUAGAGAUCUGGAGGAAUACCGGUGGCGAAGGCGGCCCCCUGGACAAAGACUGACGCUCAGGUGCGAAAGCGUGGGGAGCAAACA
This 427-nucleotide ribosomal RNA is filed under the name uncultured bacterium. Its description in RNAcentral is "partial 16S ribosomal RNA". It matches the Rfam family "Bacterial small subunit ribosomal RNA", at positions 355 to 774 of the family's 1533-position model. The record is from RNAcentral.